AAUGAACGCUGGUGGUAUGUUUUAAGCAUGCAAGUCGAACGAAGAUAAUUACGCUUGUAUGAGUGUGAUUAGACUGAGUGGCGAACGGGUGAGUAACGCGUAAAUAAUCUGCCUUAAAGACUGGGAUAGCCUAGUGAAAAUUGGAUUAAUACCGGAUGUAUUCAUAAAAAUAUAGGUUUUUAUGAAAAAAGGAGCAAUCCGCUUUAAGAUGAGUUUGCGUUCUAUUAGCUUGUUGGUGGAGUAAAAGCCUACCAAGGCUACGAUAGAUAGCCGGCCUGAGAGGGUGUACGGCCACAUUGGGACUGAGAUACGGCCCAGACUUCUACGGAAGGCAGCAGCUAAGAAUAUUCCGCAAUGGGCGAAAGCCUGUCGGAGCAAUACCACGUGAAUGAUUAAGGCCUGAAAGGGUUGUAAAGUUCUUUUAAUGAGGAAGAAUAAAGUGACGGUACUCAAUGAAUAAGUUCCGGCUAAUUACGUGCCAGCAGCCGCGGUAAUACGUAAGGAGCAAGCGUUAUUCAGAUUUACUGGGCGUAAAGGGUGUGUAGGUGGAUUAAGUAGUUAGGUAUGAAAGUUUUAGGCUUAACCUAGAAAUGUUAUCUAAAACCAUUAAUCUUGAGUUUAGGAGAGGAAGACGGAAUUUCUAGUGUAAGGGUGGAAUCUACAGAUAUUAGAAAGAACAUCGAUGGCGAAGGCAGUCUUCUGGACUAACACUGACACUGAAACACGAAAGCUAGGGGAGCAAACAGGAUUAGAUACCCUGGUAGUCCUAGCCGUAAACGUUGUAUACUAGGCGCUUGGUAUACAUAUUAAGUGCCUAAGCUAACGCGAUAAGUAUACCGCCUGGGGAGUAUGCUCGCAAGAGUAAAACUCAAAGGAAUUGACGGGGACCCGCACAAGCGGUGGAGCAUGUGGUUUAAUUCGAUGAUACGCGAAAAACCUUACUAGGGCUUGACAUGUACAGGAACUUUAUAGAAAUAUAAGGGGCUUCGUAAGAAGACCUGUAUACAGGUGCUGCAUGGCUGUCGACAGCUCGUGUUGUGAAAUGUUGGGUUAAGUCCCGCAACGAGCGCAACCCUUGUCUUCUGUUGCUAACAGGUUAUGCUGAGUACUCUGAAGAAACUGCCAGUGAUAAACUGGAGGAAGGUGGGGAUGACGUCAAGUCAUCAUGGCCCUUAUGUCCUAGGCUACACACGUGCUACAAUGGACGGUACAAAGAGAUGCAAAUCGGUGACGUGGAGCAAAUCUCACAAAACCGUUCUCAGUUUGGAUUGAAGUCUGAAACUCGACUUCAUGAAAUUGGAAUCGCUAGUAAUCAUGAAUCAGCAUGUCAUGGUGAAUACGUUCUCGGGUCUUGUACACACCGCCCGCCACACCCCUCAAGAUGAGUUUUGCUAAAGGUACUAUACUAACCGAAAGGAAGGAAGUAACUAGGUGUAGCUUGAUGAGAGGGGUG
RNAcentral lists this ribosomal RNA (1453 nucleotides) under Candidatus Maribrachyspira pinctadae. Its description in RNAcentral is "partial 16S ribosomal RNA". It matches the Rfam family "Bacterial small subunit ribosomal RNA". RNAcentral also lists the same sequence under 1 other name. The record is from RNAcentral. Lineage: Bacteria; Pseudomonadati; Spirochaetota; Spirochaetia; Brachyspirales; Brachyspiraceae.